CGGGUCGCAGCAGUAAGGAAUAUUGGUCAAUGGACGCAAGUCUGAACCAGCCAUGCCGCGUGAAGGAUUAAGGUCCUCUGGAUUGUAAACUUCUUUUAUUUGGGACGAAAAAGGGCCUUUCUAGGUCAACUGACGGUACCAGAUGAAUAAGCACCGGCUAACUCCGUGCCAGCAGCCGCGGUAAUACGGAGGGUGCAAGCGUUAUCCGGAUUCACUGGGUUUAAAGGGUGCGUAGGCGGGCAGGUAAGUCAGUGGUGAAAUCCUGGAGCUCAACUCCAGAACUGCCAUUGAUACUAUCUGUCUUGAAUAUUGUGGAGGUAAGCGGAAUAUGUCAUGUAGCGGUGAAAUGCUUAGAUAUGACAUAGAACACCCAUUGCGAAGGCAGCUUACUACGCAUAUAUUGACGCUGAGGCACGAAAGCGUGGGGAUCAAACAGGAUUAGAUACCCGGGU
RNAcentral lists this ribosomal RNA (452 nucleotides) under uncultured Sediminibacterium sp. RNAcentral's name for it is "bacterial SSU rRNA". It matches the Rfam family "Bacterial small subunit ribosomal RNA", at positions 342 to 791 of the family's 1533-position model. The record is from RNAcentral. Lineage: Bacteria; Pseudomonadati; Bacteroidota; Chitinophagia; Chitinophagales; Chitinophagaceae.